UUAUGGCUCAGGACGAACGCUGGCGGCGUGCCUAAUACAUGCAAGUCGAGCGGACCGACGGGAGCUUGCUCCCUAGGUCAGCGGCGGACGGGUGAGUAACACGUGGGUAACCUGCCUGUAAGACUGGGAUAACUCCGGGAAAACCGGGGCUAAUACCGGAUGCUUGAUUGAACCGCAUGGUUCAAUUAUAAAAGGUGGCUUUUUAGCUACCACUUACAGAUGGACCCGCGGCGCAUUAGCUAGUUGGUGAGGUAACGGCUCACCAAGGCGACGAUGCGUAGCCGACCUGAGAGGGUGAUCGGCCACACUGGGACUGAGACACGGCCCAGACUCCUACGGGAGGCAGCAGUAGGGAAUCUUCCGCAAUGGACGAAAGUCUGACGGAGCAACGCCGCCGUGAGUGAUGAAGGUUUUCGGAUCGUAAAACUCUGUUGUUAGGGAAGAACAAGUACCGUUCGAAUAGGGCGGUACCUUGACGGUACCUAACCAGAAAGCCACGGCUAACUACGUGCCAGCAGCAGC
This 522-nucleotide ribosomal RNA is filed under the name uncultured bacterium. RNAcentral's name for it is "bacterial SSU rRNA". It matches the Rfam family "Bacterial small subunit ribosomal RNA", at positions 17 to 518 of the family's 1533-position model. The record is from RNAcentral.